Molecule: ribosomal RNA, 471 nt
Filed under: uncultured bacterium
Lineage: Bacteria
Description: bacterial SSU rRNA
Rfam family: Bacterial small subunit ribosomal RNA
Source: RNAcentral
CGGGGAAUUUUGGACAAUGGGGGCAACCCUGAUCCAGCAAUGCCGCGUGAGUGAAGAAGGCCUUCGGGUUGUAAAGCUCUUUUGUCAGGGAAGAAACGGUAGUAGCGAAUAACUAUUACUAAUGACGGUACCUGAAGAAUAAGCACCGGCUAACUACGUGCCAGCAGCCGCGGUAAUACGUAGGGUGCAAGCGUUAAUCGGAAUUACUGGGCGUAAAGCGUGCGCAGGCGGUUGUGUAAGUCAGAUGUGAAAUCCCCGGGCUCAACCUGGGAAUUGCAUUUGAGACUGCACGGCUAGAGUGUGUCAGAGGGGGGUAGAUUCCACGUGUAGCAGUGAAAUGCGUAGAUAUGUGGAGGAAUACCGAUGGCGAAGGCAGCCCCCUGGGAUAACACUGACGCUCAUGCACGAAAGCGUGGGGAGCAAACAGGAUUAGAUACCCGCGUAGUCCCUGAGCGGGCUGGCAAGGCGCAU